Molecule: ribosomal RNA, 28 nt
Filed under: Botryosphaeria sp. Fx-3-1
Lineage: Eukaryota; Fungi; Ascomycota; Dothideomycetes; Botryosphaeriales; Botryosphaeriaceae
Description: partial 28S ribosomal RNA
Source: RNAcentral
GGUGACCUAGCAUCAGCUAUGGAUCAAG